UGGAAGCAAAGCAGCACAAGACAGCC
Molecule: non-coding RNA, 26 nt
Filed under: Mus musculus (house mouse)
Lineage: Eukaryota; Metazoa; Chordata; Mammalia; Rodentia; Muridae
Source: RNAcentral